UACGGGGGGGGUAAGCGUUGUUCGGAAUUACUGGGCGUAAAGGGCUCGUAGGCGGCCAACUAAGUCGGACGUGAAAUCCCUCAGCUUAACUGGGGAACUGCGUCCGAUACUGGAUGGCUUGGAUUUGGGAGAGGGAUGCGGAAUUCCAGGUGUAGCGGUGAAAUGCGUAGAUAUCUGGAGGAACACCGGUGGCGAAGGCGGCAUCCUGGACCGGCAUUGACGCUGAGGCGCGAAAGCUAGGGGAGCAAACGGG
This 253-nucleotide ribosomal RNA is filed under the name uncultured bacterium. RNAcentral describes it as "partial 16S ribosomal RNA". It matches the Rfam family "Bacterial small subunit ribosomal RNA", at positions 524 to 776 of the family's 1533-position model. The record is from RNAcentral.